Molecule: non-coding RNA, 25 nt
Filed under: Mus musculus (house mouse)
Lineage: Eukaryota; Metazoa; Chordata; Mammalia; Rodentia; Muridae
Source: RNAcentral
GUGACUGAAAGAGUCAAGGGUUCAA